GACAAGGGCCAGUGUGUGCGAUCGCGUGCCACCGGACAGUGCAGUCCUUUCUAGAAUGGCCCUGGGAUCCGAGAACAAGGUCACCGGCAUUCUGCGGCCUGGGGCGCUGCCCCAGCUCUCCAAGUCUCAGUUUCCCUUUCGUGUGAUGUGACGCUAGCAAACCCGGCCUGACGACCUGCUGAGGUUGUUGUGGAGACGGAAGGAGCUAAUAAAGCACGCAAAAGCAGCCUGUGACUCUGUGAAGCCGGAAGCCUGACAAAGCCCUGGCUCUGUUCCUGGGCAUUGUGCCGGCGGCCGGGGAAGGACAGCAACCUCUCCUGUGUCCAGUGCUGUGCAUGCAGACCGCUGGCCUGGGUGCUCUUUGAUGGGAUGGCGCCACCCCAAGCAGAAUGAAACCGCCAGCUGCUGGCCUCUUUUUCGGAUUAGCUUGACAGCCUCAACACAGAGGUGAACUCCAAAGACCCUCAUCAUCUUCUGCCACAAACUGCCACAGAAUAAACGCUCCUGUGUUCGUGUGAUGUCCUGCCCCGGGAGUCAGGUCCUAAUUGCUGUCAAAUGUUCAGAGAUAAAAGUGGCGUCUACACAUCAUUCACGCGAAGGCUGUUCCUGGCUGUGAACUGUGGUGGUGGCGGCGGCGACAGCAGCGGCUGCAACACAGGCUGCGUGGCGGGCCGUACCUGGCAGCACCCGGCUGCUCAGAGCUGGCUUUCCUGCUUCCGCGUGUCAGCCCGAACACUUUUCUUUGUUGCUGCUUGCAGCCCCGCACUCCCAUGUGCCGGGAGCCUCGCACCCUUCUGUUAGGAUCAAUAACUGCACCUCUCGAGUUCAGACUGUCUCUUGGCGUCAGUCUGACAUGCAAAUCUGGGCAGGACCAAGAGAGGGCCCAUUUAUCCCGUCACAGAUUGGGGGGGCGCGCGGGAAGCGGUUCACGUGUGGCCCCCUCAAGAGCCCCGCUGCCACAGAGCAGACAGGUAAUCCCAACAGCCAGGACCCUGCCAGUCAGCCACUGGCCGUCGGGCUGGGUGCACAUUCAUCUUCAAAUUAUGUUGUGUGACAGCCCGGGCUGCGGAACACCAUUUUAACAUGCAGAUUGACUCCUCCGAGGCUCUUCAUUAUGCAUUUAGCGGCCUGUUUUCAGACUAACCAGCAUGUCAGGGAGGCCCGCUCUCCCUUCUCCACCUGCGGGGAGCAAACAGCUCCGGACUGUGGGGGAGCCGCACGUAUUCAGAUGCAUAUGUUUACUUUCCCGAGCAUCUGCACACAGCAGCUUUCUCUGAUGCAAGAGGAGGAGAAGAAGAAAAGACCUUUGGUUCUGAAAGUCAAGGAAAAUGGCUAUGCACACAAGGGAGCCUUUGUGGAGGAGAGGAGUCGGCCAGGCCAGGCCGGCCUGAUGCCCGCCCGGCUGUCCUGAGCCUGCCUGGGUGCGUCCACACAAGCGCUGCUCUUAUUGGCACACAGACCCUCUCUUUCUCUCACACACACAGCCUGAAGUAUUUUAAGCAGAACACUUCCAAUUUCCUGUUUCUAAAACUGUCUUGCAUCUCCAGCGGCAUUCCAAGCAAUCCUGGGGAGUGACAGGACGAGCCUCCUUAGUGAGUGAGCGCAGUAGGGUGAGGUGGCUCGGGGGUUACCUAGGGGGCUCUGGGUCCCUUUGUCAGCCCUUCCCUCUUCUCUUCCUAGUGCGACUGACUUCUCCUUGCUGGGGACAUUUCUCUGUGGCCCGGGGUUACGAUGGCAUGAACACGGAUGUUUUCCUGUGUGUGAGCAUAUGUGUGUGUGUGUCUCCUGUCCCGAGGGUCUCUUUCCCUUCCUUAAAAGGAACCACAUUUGCAUUGGCCGGGUGGCUCAGUUGGUUGGAGUAUCAUCCCAUACACCGAAACGCUGCUGGUUCCAUCCCGGGUCAGGGCACAUACGGGAGGCAGCCAAUCACUGUUUUUCUCAUACAUCG
This is a long non-coding RNA of Myotis myotis, 1948 nucleotides long. RefSeq lists it as uncharacterized. NCBI's taxonomy places the organism in Eukaryota, Metazoa, Chordata, Mammalia, Chiroptera, Vespertilionidae. The record is from RefSeq and is a predicted model, not a curated record. The transcript has 3 exons.